UUAUGGGUUUCAUCUCUACUGUAUUUUCUUUUCCUUGCAGAUUCCCUUGAGGUUCUACGGCUUCCCUGGCAGCCGGCAAAGCAGAGAUGCUCCCACCUGGCUGGUUGUCGUCACACCUGUUUAUGUGGAGUGUUGGAUCUGUGGUCUCGGCGAUACUCAUGAUUCUGCUGCUGCUUCUCUGCCUUCCCUUUAAGAGGAACAAGCGGCAGCUAUCGCCGACCAUGCCUAAGAGAAAUGUGGACACGUCUGAACUCAUCAGCGUGACUAAGCUAGAAGACCAUCCAAAUCCAGAAGACAUGACCCUCAGAGAGGAGACGUCAAAGAAAGGAAGGCCUCUCUCCAGCCNCCAAGCCGAGAAGGAAACCAAUGGACUUUCUGCAGGCUUUGAGCAAGAAAAUGCUGCUUCUGCGAAGGACGGAUGCACUGCAGGCCCAAACCAGCAAAGCCUGGAGAAGUCCGGAAAGUCGGAUUUGGACCAUUUGGGAAUCUCGGGUGCACAUCCGUCGUGCCCUCCUGCACCCUCUCCAAGGCCCAUGCAGUUCAGAAAGCUCCCGCUGACUCCGAAAGAAGCCCAUAUAUCUAAGAUGGAACCGCAGAACCAGAGCACGGACAGCCAGGUCUAUGAGUGCAUUGAGGAUGAAAAAGUAAGCGGACUCAGCAUCGGUGAUGAGCCAGCCAUCAUGAAGGGCUGCGGUCCACCCACCGGCCCGAUCUCUGCCACAGCAGGGGAUGCCUUGGUUGAAACUGGCAGGAAGGAUACAACGCCGUGCCAGUCCAUGGACAUUCCUGUGCAGGUGACUGCAGUUCUGCAUUGCAGUGAAGAGACGCAGGAAACAAGGCCUCCGAACACGGACACNGACGCGGAGAGGAGGCUCAGCGCCAUGUACGCUCGGGUGUGCAAGAGGCCCAAGGCGUCACAAGGUCUGCAGCCAAAGAGUCACAGUAAAACUACAGAACCGGAAGAGGAAGAGCCCCCGCCCAUCCCCGAGAAGCAUUUCGAGAAUAUCUACGAGAGCCUGAACCUGGAGGGGCAGGGUGUCGAGAUGCCAAACGCGGUGAUCCCACCAGAAGCGUGAACGGAGAGGAGCAGAGGGNCAGACUCAAACCAGACUGAAACCGCUUAGAGCUCUUGGGGUGUGCGUGUGUUUUCCAUUUUCUGAGUCUCCCAGGGAAAAAAGAAGAAGCACAGAGCUUUGGGUGGUGCUAAAAGUAGCACACAAGCUGCACUUUACAUGCCGUUUUCUAGGAGAAAUGGUGGUGGUGGUGUGCUGCACCGUGGCACGCUGAGAUCUGAACGGGUCUUCUAGACUUGCACUGCCGGAAUCUCUUGUGUUUCACGUGGCACGAGGCAUCCCACCCGACUCAGGGCCGAAGAGAGCGGCUGGCAUCGACAGGAGAAAUGUGCUGCCUUUGAUGGUUCUGUGUCCAGCUCCGGAGACUCUGCAACAGUUUUUAAAGAAAAACAACACUGCAACUUUUUAAAGCGACAACAGUCCAACCGUCUCCACCACACCACACCACACCACACCACGCUACAUCCUUCUCAGGUUUUUAAAUUCUUUGGAAUGAAUAAAAUUAUUUUGUCUUCAAAUCA
This 1594-nucleotide long non-coding RNA is filed under the name Salvator merianae (Argentine black and white tegu). RNAcentral describes it as "lncRNA (ENSSMRG00000012321.1)". Lineage: Eukaryota; Metazoa; Chordata; Lepidosauria; Squamata; Teiidae. The record is from RNAcentral.